RNAcentral lists this long non-coding RNA (1143 nucleotides) under Vigna radiata. RNAcentral's name for it is "long non-coding RNA (VRAD_LNC000290)". The record is from RNAcentral. Lineage: Eukaryota; Viridiplantae; Streptophyta; Magnoliopsida; Fabales; Fabaceae.
GAAAAAUUCGAAAUGGUCUUUGAGUUUAUUUUGUGUUCAAUUUUGUCCCAAAGAACGAAUUUAGUGUUCAAUUAAGUCCUUUUCAGUAACUCCGUUAAAAUUCUUAACGAUAACGUGUCCAGAUGUGCAACUGCUGAGUGAGGUGUCAGUUUUUUGCUAACUGAGAAUUCUUUUCAGUUGGAAUUAGGAUUUUUUAAAAAAUUUAGAAAGGCAAAGUGGGAAAAAAAGAAAGACUUUCUUCUUCCUCUAAAACCCUAAUUCCUCUACCAUUACCCAAACCCCAAUCGCCGACCACCGACCACCGUCCAUCAUCUUCUUCCUCGCACGCCGUCAGCAACCAUCGCACCUCCGUCACCGUGGCAGCCUCCAGCAUUUUCCAAUUCAACUUCGUGUGCCCUUUUCCCCAAAUCUGAACCCUAAUUUUGGGUAGAAAGGGAUCUUCAUCUUCUCCGCCAUGGACACAUCUGCAACUCAGCUUCAACACGCAUCCAUGGCCGCUGCUACCACCAAGCCGCCACCUUGAAGCUUCUUCUUCGUAUCUCGCACCUGCAAGCAAACCAAAAUCACACAACCAUCACGGUCUCGCCUCGACCAUUCUCGUCGUGCCGUCGUGCCUCGCAGGUUUGAUCCUCUCCAACGCAAGCCACCCGGCCUCCGUCACGCGCAACCUAGACAUCACCAUCGCACCUCCAUCAUCGUCGCAUCUCGCACCUGCAGAAAACAAGCCCAAAAGCAGAAAUGGGAACCACCGUGGCAGCCUCCAGCAUUUUUCGAUUUGCGCAGGCACACCAGGGCCAAACCCCUUUUUCCCAAAUUUGAAUCCUAAUUUUGGGUGGAAAGGGAGCGGACACGUGGCGCGCUCUGACGGGGCAAACCCCUUUCUGCCCACUUUGCCCUUCUAAAAUUCUGAUUCCAACUGAAAAUGAUUCCCAGUCAGCAGAAAAACUGACACCUCACUCAGCAGUUGCAUAUCUGGACACGUUAUCGUUAAGAAUUUUAACGGAGUUACUGAAAAGGACUUAAUUGAACACCAAAUUCGUUCUUUGGGACAAAAUUGAACACAAAAUAAACUCAGGGACCAUUUCGAAUUUUCCCAAACUGGAAAAAAAAGAGCUUUUUAACCUAAUAGUUAUUGUAUUUAAC